CAGGAAAUAGUUUAUAAAAAUAUUAAUUUUGGAGAUUAAAGAUGGGAAAUUUCUCUUUCCUGA
RNAcentral lists this transfer RNA (63 nucleotides) under Pseudabris longiventris. RNAcentral describes it as "tRNA-Pro". Lineage: Eukaryota; Metazoa; Arthropoda; Insecta; Coleoptera; Meloidae. The record is from RNAcentral.